GGAAACUUGCCGUAAUCGGUAUCGGAGCGGUUUGCUAAACCGUCCAGGCGAAAGCCUGUGUGGGUUCAAGUCCCGCAGUUUCCG
RNAcentral lists this transfer RNA (84 nucleotides) under Caudoviricetes sp. Its description in RNAcentral is "tRNA-Ser". It matches the Rfam family "tRNA". From Rfam's summary of the family: Transfer RNA (tRNA) molecules are approximately 80 nucleotides in length. Their secondary structure includes four short double-helical elements and three loops (D, anti-codon, and T loops). Lineage: Duplodnaviria; Heunggongvirae; Uroviricota; Caudoviricetes. The record is from RNAcentral.